RNAcentral lists this transfer RNA (71 nucleotides) under Cordylochernes scorpioides. RNAcentral's name for it is "tRNA-Gly". It matches the Rfam family "tRNA". From Rfam's summary of the family: Transfer RNA (tRNA) molecules are approximately 80 nucleotides in length. Their secondary structure includes four short double-helical elements and three loops (D, anti-codon, and T loops). Lineage: Eukaryota; Metazoa; Arthropoda; Arachnida; Pseudoscorpiones; Chernetidae. The record is from RNAcentral.
GCAUCGGUGGUUCAGUGGUUGAAUGCUCGCCUGCCACGCGGGCGGCCAGGGUUCGAUUCCCGGCCGAUGCA